UACAGAGGGGGCCAGCGUUAUUCGGAAUUAUUGGGCGUAAAGAGCGUGUAGGCGGCUAGGUAGGUCCGUUGUGAAAACUCGAGGCUCAACCUCGAGACGCCGAUGGAAACCAUCUGGCUAGAGUCCGGAAGAGGAGAGUGGAAUUCCUGGUGUAGCGGUGAAAUGCGCAGAUAUCAGGAAGAACACCCGUGGCUAAGGCGGCUCUCUAGUACGGUACUGACGCUGAGACGCGAAAGCGUGGGGAGCGAACAGG
This 253-nucleotide ribosomal RNA is filed under the name uncultured bacterium. RNAcentral's name for it is "partial 16S ribosomal RNA". It matches the Rfam family "Bacterial small subunit ribosomal RNA", at positions 524 to 776 of the family's 1533-position model. The record is from RNAcentral.